RNAcentral lists this ribosomal RNA (409 nucleotides) under uncultured alga. Its description in RNAcentral is "bacterial LSU rRNA". It matches the Rfam family "Bacterial large subunit ribosomal RNA", at positions 2078 to 2485 of the family's 2925-position model. The record is from RNAcentral.
GGACAGAAAGACCCUAUGAAGCUUUACUGUAGCCUGAAAUUGGGUUUGGGCUCUUCUUGCGCAGUCUAGGUGGGAGGCUAAGAAAAUUCCCUUGCGGGGGGGUUGGAGCCGUUUUUGAGAGACCACUCUAGAAGAGCUAAAAUUCUAAUAGUGAUCCUUGAAUCAGGACACUUGACAGUUUCAGGUGGGCAGUUUUACUGGGGCGGUAGUCUCCCAAAAGGUAACGGAGAUGUGCAAAGGUUCCCUCAAGCUGGACGGAAAUCAGCUGUAGAGUGUAAAGGCAUAAGGGAGCUUGACUGUAAGACCUACAAGUCGAACAGGGGCGAAAGCCGGCCUUAAUGAUCCGACGGUACCGUGUGGAAGGGCCGUCGCUCAACGGAUAAAAGUUACUCUAGGGAUAACAGGCUGA